Acanthopagrus latus (yellowfin seabream) is the source of this 1433-nucleotide long non-coding RNA. RefSeq lists it as uncharacterized. NCBI's taxonomy places the organism in Eukaryota, Metazoa, Chordata, Actinopteri, Spariformes, Sparidae. The record is from RefSeq and is a predicted model, not a curated record. The transcript is spliced from 3 exons.
UCGAAAAUAUACUUUUAUUCUGCACCUCUCUACAAGGUCUUUGUCUACACAGGCAUUUUUUUCAAUAUGACCUUUAAGAAUACAAAAAUCACAGAUAGCAGACUAUAAUUAUUAAUAUAAUUACAGUUGUGAGGCAACAGUUAAAUGUAGACAUUCCAGUGGAGGGUGACAAUGCAAAGGACUCACAGAAGGCAACGUGCUGCAGCUAUACAGAUCUCAGAGGACACAGUUCACAAACCCUGAAAAAACAGUGAUGUAGUUGUUCUAGCACUUAUGAACAGAGACUCUGUCUGCUCGUUCUUGUCCUGUCUGACUUCUCUUCUUUUGGGAUUUUAGAUAUUCACUUGACUGGGUACAGUCUUAUCAUAGUCAAUAAAAAAGAUCCACAUUUUCUUAAACUGAGUCUACCUUUCAAUGACUUGCAUUUUCACCAACGGAAAAAAAUUUGAGUCUUUAACAUUUGAAGCAAACUUUUUCCAAAGCAUCUUAAAACAUGAAGGUGUGUGAAAACAGCUGCAAAAACAAAACAGAGCAGAAUAUGUCACAGAGUCAAUAUAAAUGAGUCACAUCACUCUCUCUCUCCUUGUUUGAUGAUAUAUAAAUAUUCUCAUUAUACUGUAUGUGUUGCACCGAUAAUUGCCUGGAGAGAUGAUAACACAUCCGGUUAAUGCGUUGCUGUGAAUCACUGCUCAUUCUAGCAUUUACAUAUUGGUGAGGGGCCAAACACGACUGUGGUUUGGGCUAUGUCACACGAGGCCACCUGCCCUGUCCAUGUCCACAGUCCAUGGCAUCACUGAGGCAGACCAGCAGCUCACUGUCUGAUGACAGUCAUCCACAUGCCACAACCACAUGUCUACUCCAUUCAUAGACUGGCUGUUUUCCUCAUUCCCAUGUGCAGCUCAUCUCAUAAUCUCCUGCACCUUCCAUCAGAUGAAUCAAGUGGAAGAGUUUUCACUCUGCAUAAAAAACUUUUCUUAAUAUAAUUAUUUUGCAUCUCAUCAAUGAGUCACAAAAUCUCUUCAUGUCAAGUCUUCACACUAUGAACUUUAGUUAAAUUAUUUUUUAGGUGCACAGCUUCGGUCGUAAUGAGGGAGAGACACAGAUUGAUUCUUUGGAGCCUGGGGAUUGAAACAGUGACCUUCAAACAGGACACAUAGGAGAUGGUAUGCUAUUACUCUGCUGUGGUGACAGAUCGGGCUGAUGAUGGGACGAACUUCCCAGAAGUGCAGAGCAUGAUAAAGCAGACUUGGUGAUCUGACGCCGGGGUGACAGCCGGAUGACAACCACUGUACAUUAAGUUCAGUGAAGCAGCUGGUCUUGUUUCUUCAGCAUGAAGAAGAGAGGCUCAGACAAAGCCUAUCUGAGGCCACAGAGGAGGUACACAGCGUGUGCUCGCCUCUGUUGUUGCGUUCAGUGACAGGCUGCAGAGUUGG